RNAcentral lists this long non-coding RNA (2258 nucleotides) under Triticum aestivum (bread wheat). Its description in RNAcentral is "long non-coding RNA (TAES_LNC001095)". The record is from RNAcentral. Lineage: Eukaryota; Viridiplantae; Streptophyta; Magnoliopsida; Poales; Poaceae.
UGCGUGAGGAGAUGCCAUGGACGCCGAUGUCAAGCUCCGUUGCUUUGACCCCUAUCCAGAUCCGCCCCCUUCUCUCUUCCCCUCUUCGAUCUGCCCUUCUUCCAUUUCCUUCCCUGAGGCAUGCAUUUUCUCUUGUUUUUCUUCCUCACACAGGCACCUGCACCACAAACUCUAUGCAAGGAGAGGAGUGAGGGUGCUGCAGGGAGAAAAGGGAAGAACGGGAUGCACCUGAGGAGCGAGGGGUUGACAUCUUGGUUCUUGCUUGACCACGUUGCCUAUGGUAUGCCUUUGCUACUUUCCCUCUUUACAAUUGCAUGCAUCUGUUUGCUACGAAAACAACAACCUAGGCCACCAACUGUUUGUUGUUUUGUUAAAAUCUUUAGAUUUGUAUGCCUCUAUUUUAGUAAUUGCUAUAGUAAUUGAAUCUGGUUGAACUGAAAAUGGCGUUGGGGACAUCAAUUUCUACAGUGGCUGUCGUCCAGAAAAUAAAUCUCUUUGGAAAAUAAAUAUUACGAGACUACUCUGAACAAUACUACUCCUUCAACUUGUACAUACUCCUAGACUGUUGCUGUAUGGUUUCAAAAAUCCCAGAUAAAAAUCUAGAUGACAUUUACAUCUGUAAAUACAUACAUAUGAAAUAAGCACCACGGUUCCGUUUAGUGUGUAUGCGUUGAUAUGUUUUAACUUUGACUAUAACAAUCUGGAUGGCACCUGCAUCUGUAGAUAAAUAUGAAGAAGAACCACAGUUUGGUUCAGUUUGCUUUCCUUGGAAACGCUAGUCUUACCAUGUUUGCUUUCCUUGGAAACGAUUCAGCUCUAGGAGCAAAUUAUUAGUUUGUUGUUUAUAAUCUAUAUCAUUUAUCAAAUUGUGUUGUAAAUUAUCAUUCCCUGUCUCAAUUUAAUUUUGUUGCAUUCCCCGGCUCGUUUUAAUUUUGUUCAUGUGGUAGAGUAUGACUGUUGUUGUUUAUCCUGUUAAUUUAGUUGACUUUCUCUCUUGAAAUCUAGUCAAACACUAAAACAAGCACACUGCCGUAUCUGUACCGGCAAGAUCUCUUUUCACACCAUCCAGUCCAAAACCAAAAGCUGUUGUAUUCUCUGAUGAACUUCAAGGCAACGGAAAUGCAGCAGGAUAUAUGCAAGAUUCCGUGGAUACUUUGCACAAGAUAUUAAUGACACGGAAGCAGAGCCAUAUUAACAUAGGUACACCAUACACUACACCUUUACACCAAGCAAGUAUUUACUCUGCGGAGCUUAUCAUCCAUAUUCUUGCAGCUUUAUGUUCCAUCUAAUAUGUACAGAAAUCAAUGUGUAUUCAUAACCAGACGUGUCAUUAGCUAGUUUAAAUCCUCACUGUAGGCAAUAUAACUUUCCAGCACAUGGAAAUUUGUUUACUUAACCAUACCUUAUAAUGGGUCAGCUUAGUAUUUUCAAAGUGCCAUACCAUAUAACCAAAAUCUAUUCCACGGCAACAAGUCUGUUCCCUGCUACCAAAAGUAGGUUACUUGUUAUAUUUUAGCAUACUAAGGGUUCUCUACAACCAAUUAUGUUCUGCACAGAGCCAAAGAGGGCCAAGUUGGGGUUGUGUUGGCUACAUCAACACUUGUAAUAUUUCCCAAUACGUACAUUCAUUUGUUAUUAAGUUAUAUCAUCUUCCCAAAAAAUUUACAAUCAUCUUCAAUGUAGGGUAUAUAUUUUUUUUUGCAGAUCUAGUGGUCAGGUUUAUAACAUGGUUGUCCAUACAAAAUUGUUGUAACUUAUCAUCAAUAUUUCUACAUAAAAUAUUCUAAAUCUUCUUGUUCUUCCAAUGUACAUACAAGUGAAACUUUAUCCCGAAACUUGAUAAAAUGAGACCCCUUUGGUUGGUUCUAACAAAAUUACUCAUAUCUAAAAAUGUCUAAUGUUUGUUCUAUUUUUGGACAGAUAUAUUAAUCCUACUUGUUGUUGCCUCUCGCAACUGCAUGAGAUGAUAGUUGCCAUGAAGAGCAUCGAUUGCAAGAAAUUGAAUAAGAAACUUUUAUAUAUGUUGAUGUAAAUUGGAUUGUGCUAGUCCUAAACAUGCUAUGUGUUGUAUUUUGUCAAUUCGUGUUGUACAUUAUCAUUUCAUGGAGGAUUUUGCAAACUGCUAUGUUGUACAUGUCGGUAGAUGGCUGCAAAAAUACUACAUGAUCUUUCUAUUUUAUGGCACUUUGAAAUAUGUUUUUUCUUCAGCCAAAGUUGGCACUAUGAUCUAUGUAAUGUAUUAUGCUAGAAAAAAAUCC